Molecule: small RNA, 29 nt
Filed under: Bombyx mori (domestic silkworm)
Lineage: Eukaryota; Metazoa; Arthropoda; Insecta; Lepidoptera; Bombycidae
Description: ovarian small RNA-35147
Source: RNAcentral
UGGUCGAUGAGCACGUCCGCGCGUGACGU